RNAcentral lists this ribosomal RNA (1647 nucleotides) under Triticum aestivum (bread wheat). RNAcentral's name for it is "partial small subunit ribosomal RNA". The record is from RNAcentral. Lineage: Eukaryota; Viridiplantae; Streptophyta; Magnoliopsida; Poales; Poaceae.
GCUGAACGGGGUUGGCUUCCGGGGGGCAAGGACCAAAAUUGUGAAGUAUCAAAUGGUAGACAUGAAGAUGCACCAACAAAUGCAGGGCCUGGCUGCAUCAUAUGAACUGUCGCUUAUACUCUGACUUGGAUGGUUGUGGGAAAAAUGGCAAAAGGUAAAUUAAUGGCAAAAGAAUUCAAUUUACCCGUGUCCUACUCCUUUGAACCAAUCGAACCAAUCCUCUCCGGUGGCCAAAUCUAAGAACAAAAACCCCUGUCAGUACUCGCACUUUGACCAGCAAGAAAAACAGAGUGACAAAAUUCCAAGGAGGAUGGCCCCCGAUACUCAUGCUGAUGCUGCCACAUUUCACAUUUGGUUAAUGCAUUAACAAAUUAGUCGUGGGGCCUGGAUUUGGGCCCUAAAUCUUAGGUUUUCUAAUUGCUAACAUAAACAAGUAGGAGUAUAGUAAACAAAAGCAAGAUAGGACCCAACCCACAUUGAGUGAGUAAACACUAAACAUUUUUCCGGCUACCAGAUGAUGCCAAAAAUAAUUUUAUGGCUUACGAGAUUCAAAUGAAAUCACACAUAUAAAUUGAUAUCUAGUGUGUGAAGACGAUUAUCGGCAAGACAAUGCAGUAGCUACAUAACAUGGUUAACUGAUAAAAAAUAUUUGUCGAGUUCAAACCAACGCUCAUUUAAUCCCUGAUUUUAUCCUGGUAAUUUUGACUGGCUUAGAAAAAGGCCUAAUAGACAGAGGAUGGCUUAGAAAAAUCCUAUUUUUGUGAAACAGUAAGCAAUCCUCUUUUCUGAGCACAGAGCCACUCAGGUGGCCUGCUUUUCUUCAGUUUUGAGAUCCAUAUUGCUCCUAUUUUCUUGUACAGCAUCCUCACAGGAUUAGUCCUUUCAAAGAAAUUAAAUCAUCUUCUUCCUUCUUCCUGUUACCAGGACUGUUGGUCCUUCUGCCAGGAGAAUUUGACUUCUUCCUGUUACCAGGACUUUUGGUCCUUCUGUUGCCAGGAGAAUUCCACUUCUUCUUUUGCUUCCCUUUUUCAGAUGGCACAUGAGCUUCAUCAGGACUCAGAGCAGAAUCAUGCAACUCCUUGCUGUUACCACGACACCUGUGCCUUCUAUUGCCAGGAGAAUUUGACUUGUUUUGCUUCGUUUUUUCAGAUGGCACAUGAGCUUCAAUAGGACUCGAAGCAGAACCAUCUUCCCCCUUCUUUCUGUUACCUCUGCGCCUGUGCCUCCUGCUGCCAGGAGAAUUCAAGGAUGGCCGGGAUGCUCCAUGUUGCUUCAGCUCUUGAUCGCCUUCUUCAGAUGGCAACUGCACUGCAACAGGACAAGAAUUCUCUUCUUCCUUGUUCUUCCUUUGUUUGUUGGCAGAAUCAUCACAGAACGAUGCACUUCCGACAUUCUUAGGCUGCUGUGUCAGCAGGGCUUCAACAUAUGGACUAUCAGCAUCAUCAUCCUUACCCUCAAAGAAAUUAAAUCAUCUUCUUCCUCCUCAUGCUGAAAACGAGCAAAAGUGUGCCUGAACCUAUCCAUACUAGUUUCAUGAUAGCAGAGGUGCCAAAAAAACGACAUCCAUGUGCUGCUCCCUGUCAAAUCUGGGUGUUCCUGAGCACAGAGAAGGUGGCCGCCAUCAGCUAUGAACUCAUCGGAAGGAAG